Molecule: small nucleolar RNA, 75 nt
Organism: Mercurialis annua (annual mercury)
Lineage: Eukaryota; Viridiplantae; Streptophyta; Magnoliopsida; Malpighiales; Euphorbiaceae
Product: small nucleolar RNA U31b
Exons: 1
Source: RefSeq, a predicted model, not a curated record
GGAUAUGAAGAUGCUAUUUGACACCCAGUCUUACUUUCUUUUGAAAUAUGGUGAGAUUUUAUUGUUGUCUGAUCC